AACGAACGCUGGCGGCAUGCCUAACACAUGCAAGUCGAACGAGACCUUCGGGUCUAGUGGCGCACGGGUGCGUAACGCGUGGGAACCUGCCCUUAGGUUCGGAAUAACUCCCCGAAAGGGUGCUAAUACCGGAUAAUGUCUUCGGACCAAAGAUUUAUCGCCUUUGGAUGGGCCCGCGUUGGAUUAGCUAGUUGGUAGGGUAAAAGCCUACCAAGGCGACGAUCCAUAGCUGGUCUGAGAGGAUGAUCAGCCACACUGGGACUGAGACACGGCCCAGACUCCUACGGGAGGCAGCAGUGGGGAAUAUGGGACAAUGGGCGAAAGCCUGAUCCAGCAAUGCCGCGGGAGUGAUGAAGGCCUUAGGGUUGUAAAGCUUUUUUACCCGGGAUGAUAAUGACAGUACCGGGAGAAUAAGCUCCGGCUAACUCCGU
This 431-nucleotide ribosomal RNA is filed under the name uncultured bacterium. Its description in RNAcentral is "partial 16S ribosomal RNA". It matches the Rfam family "Bacterial small subunit ribosomal RNA", at positions 29 to 506 of the family's 1533-position model. The record is from RNAcentral.